UGGGGAAUUUUGGACAAUGGGCGCAAGCCUGAUCCAGCAAUGCCGCGUGCAGGAUGAAGGCCUUCGGGUUGUAAACUGCUUUUGUACGGAGCGAAAAGGUCUGCCCUAAUACGGUGGGCUCAUGACGGUACCGUAAGAAUAAGCACCGGCUAACUACGUGCCAGCAGCCGCGGUAAUACGUAGGGUGCGAGCGUUAAUCGGAAUUACUGGGCGUAAAGCGUGCGCAGGCGGUUAUAUAAGACAGAUGUGAAAUCCCCGGGCUCAACCUGGGACCUGCAUUUGUGACUGUAUAGCUAGAGUAUGGCAGAGGGGGGUGGAAUUCCACGUGUAGCAGGGAAAUGCAUAGAGAUGCGGAGGAACACCGAUGGCGAAGGCAGUCCCCUGGGCCUGCACUGACGCUCAUGCACGAAAGCGUGGGGAGCAAACA
RNAcentral lists this ribosomal RNA (427 nucleotides) under uncultured bacterium. RNAcentral describes it as "bacterial SSU rRNA". It matches the Rfam family "Bacterial small subunit ribosomal RNA", at positions 355 to 774 of the family's 1533-position model. The record is from RNAcentral.